UCGAUAAUCUCGUCCAGG
RNAcentral lists this small RNA (18 nucleotides) under Bombyx mori (domestic silkworm). RNAcentral's name for it is "ovarian small RNA-28424". Lineage: Eukaryota; Metazoa; Arthropoda; Insecta; Lepidoptera; Bombycidae. The record is from RNAcentral.